RNAcentral lists this long non-coding RNA (1044 nucleotides) under Anas platyrhynchos platyrhynchos (common mallard). Its description in RNAcentral is "lncRNA (ENSAPLG00000030953.1)". The record is from RNAcentral. Lineage: Eukaryota; Metazoa; Chordata; Aves; Anseriformes; Anatidae.
GCACCCUGCAGCAGUGGGGUCUUGGGGACGUGCCGUGCACCAGGGACUCUCAGUGUUGGGGUCACCCCAUGCACCAGGAGCACCCCGCGUGGUGCUUACCCCAUGCGCUGGGGACCCUCCGUGCUCCAGGGACCUUCCAUGCUCCCAGUGCUGGGGAUCCUCUGUGCCAGGGACACCCCACACAUCAGGGAGCUCUGGGCCAGGGGUACCCCAUGCGCUGGGGACCCUCCAUGGUAGGGACACACCGCACCGGGGUCCCUUUGUGCCAAGGACACCCUGUGCCAUGCGGACACCUUGUGCCAUGGAGACACCCUGUGCUAUGGGGACACCCUGUGCCAAGGACACCUUGUGCCAUGGGGACACCCUGUGCCAUGGGGACAAGUGCCAAGGGGACACCCUGUGCCAAGGACACCUUGUGCCAUGGGUACACCCUGUGCCAAGGGGACACCUUGUGCCAAGGGGACACCCUGUGCCAUGGGGACACCCUGUGCCACGGGGACAGUGCCACGGGGACAGUGCCACGGGGACACCCUGUGCCAUGGGGACACCCUGUGCCAAGGACACCCUGUGCUGUGGGGACACCCUGCUGGGCACCCUCUGGACACCGGGGACCCCUGCCCUGUCCUUAUGCCCCCGCUGCCCGCAGUCAGCAACGCCGGCGUGGGGAUGAUCGGACCCCUGGAGUGCCAGAGCCUGGCCGCCAUGCAGGGCCUGAUGGACACCAACUUCUUCGGCCUCGUCCGCCUGGUGAAGGAGGUGCUGCCCGACAUGAAGCGGCGCCGCAGCGGCCACAUCGUGGUCAUCAGCAGCGUCAUGGGGCUGCAGGGCAUCGUCUUCAACGACGUCUACGCUGCCUCCAAGUUCGCCGUGGAGGGCUUCUGCGAGAGCCUGGUGGUGCAGGCGCUGCGCUUCAAUGUGGCGUGAGUGCCCGGGGUGGGCGGAGGGGCUGAGGGAGGGGGGGGCUCAGCCACCAGCAUCCCCAGAGCCCCCUCCCCUGGCAGCAUCAGCCUGGUGGAGCCGGGGCCGGUGACGACGGAGUUUGAG